UACGGAGGGUGCAAGCGUUGUCCGGAUUCAUUGGGCGUAAAGGGCGCGUAGGCGGCGCGGUAAGUCGGGUGUGAAAUCUUGGAGCUUAACUCCGGAACUGCAUUCGAUACUGCCGUGCUUGAGGACUGGAGAGGAGACUGGAAUUUACGGUGUAGCGGUGAAAUGCGUAGAUAUCGUAAGGAAGACCAGUGGCGAAGGCGGGUCUCUGGACAGUUACUGACGCUGAGGCGCGAAGGCCAGGGGAGCAAACGGG
RNAcentral lists this ribosomal RNA (253 nucleotides) under uncultured bacterium. RNAcentral describes it as "partial 16S ribosomal RNA". It matches the Rfam family "Bacterial small subunit ribosomal RNA", at positions 524 to 776 of the family's 1533-position model. The record is from RNAcentral.